UUCGGCCUCGGGGCGCAGCAGUGAAGAAUAUUGGUCAAUGGGCGCGAGCCUGAACCAGCCAAGUAGCGUGAAGGAUGACUGCCCUACGGGUUGUAAACUUCUUUUAUAAAGGAAUAAAGUGAGGCAUGUGUGCCUUUUUGUAUGUACUUUAUGAAUAAGGAUCGGCUAACUCCGUGCCAGCAGCCGCGGUAAUACGGAGGAUCCGAGCGUUAUCCGGAUUUAUUGGGUUUAAAGGGAGCGUAGAUGGGUUGUUAAGU
RNAcentral lists this ribosomal RNA (257 nucleotides) under uncultured bacterium. Its description in RNAcentral is "partial 16S ribosomal RNA". It matches the Rfam family "Bacterial small subunit ribosomal RNA", at positions 333 to 588 of the family's 1533-position model. The record is from RNAcentral.